UCCACAUCCACCUACUCCUCCACCAUCUUGUUCUCUUCCAGUGUUUCAGAUCCAGGAUAAGGAACUCAGGUUACCAACUGAUCGGUGAUGAUGAGGAUUACAUCAACUGAAAGCAGACUGAGACUUAAAACUGCCAGCUCCCCCACUUCUCAAGCCUUCAGAUUUGGACUGGAACCAUA
Molecule: long non-coding RNA, 179 nt
Organism: Odocoileus virginianus texanus
Lineage: Eukaryota; Metazoa; Chordata; Mammalia; Artiodactyla; Cervidae
Source: RefSeq, a predicted model, not a curated record